CAGUCGCCGCGGGAAUACGUAGGGUGCAAGCGUUAAUCGGAAUUACUGGGCGUAAAGCGUGCGCAGGCGGCUUUGCAAGACAGAUGUGAAAGCCCCCGGCUCAACCGGGGAGGGUCAUUGGAAACUGGGAAACUUGAGUGCAGAAGAGGAGAGUGGAAUUCCACGUGUAGCGGUGAAAUGCGUAGAGAUGUGGAGGAACACCAGUGGCGAAGGCGACUCUCUGGUCUGUAACUGACGCUGAGGAGCGAAAGCGUGGGGAGCGAACAGGAUUAGAUACCCCGGUAGUCCCUGUCUCUUAUAC
RNAcentral lists this ribosomal RNA (301 nucleotides) under uncultured bacterium. RNAcentral's name for it is "partial 16S ribosomal RNA". It matches the Rfam family "Bacterial small subunit ribosomal RNA", at positions 509 to 807 of the family's 1533-position model. The record is from RNAcentral.